AAUUAGAUGGCAGAAUAGUGCUAUAGGUUUAAGCCCUAUCUAUGAGACUUGAUCUCUCUAGUUA
This 64-nucleotide transfer RNA is filed under the name Drawida japonica. RNAcentral describes it as "tRNA-Leu". Lineage: Eukaryota; Metazoa; Annelida; Clitellata; Moniligastrida; Moniligastridae. The record is from RNAcentral.